UGAGGAGAGGAAGGCGAUAAAAAUGCGAAACGGGGAGGUGGUGGCGUGAUGAAAAAUUUAUGUCCAGGAACGGGCAAAAUGACGGAUUUUU
Molecule: non-coding RNA, 91 nt
Organism: Caenorhabditis elegans
Lineage: Eukaryota; Metazoa; Nematoda; Chromadorea; Rhabditida; Rhabditidae
Source: Ensembl